UACGAGGGGGCGAGCGUUGUUCGGAAUUAUUGGGUACGUAAGGGUGCGUAGGCGGUUCCGCAAGUCCAUGUGUCCGAAAUCGUUCGGGACUCAACUCGAAGUCUGCACGGGAAACUGCGGGGCUUGAGUGUGGGAGAGGUGAGUGGAAUUCCCGGUGAUAGCGGUGAAAUGCGUAGAUAUCGGGAGGAACACCUGUGGCGAA
Molecule: ribosomal RNA, 202 nt
Filed under: uncultured bacterium
Lineage: Bacteria
Description: partial 16S ribosomal RNA
Rfam family: Bacterial small subunit ribosomal RNA
Source: RNAcentral